Molecule: long non-coding RNA, 2302 nt
Organism: Acanthochromis polyacanthus (spiny chromis)
Lineage: Eukaryota; Metazoa; Chordata; Actinopteri; Pomacentridae
Exons: 6
Source: RefSeq, a predicted model, not a curated record
UGACCGUGUUUGCUUCGAAAAGUAAAUCCGACAGCAAUAUUCUUACAUUUCGUGUGUUUCUAAUAGUUGUGCUUGCCUCUACACAAAAUGAUCUAGCCACACAAUCAUUUACACUGCGGCAGUUGAGGCUCUGCGGGUGUAAAAUGAGCCGUUUCUGCAUAAUGCUAAUAUCGCUAAUGUUAACCGGCAGUCUCUAAGAAAUAUCAAGUUUGACUAUUAUUUAUUUGUAACAAUAAUUACUAAAUUCUCAACAUAACCAGACUGUCUGGGUUAGCAAAAUAACUUGGAGAGACAUAUGCUUUUGGGUAUAAGCCACAUUUGUAUUAUUAUUUUAUAUUUGAGUCACUCAUCAGAUCUUUCCCCUUGACAAAUAGAACAGAUUCAAGUAAAAACGAAUCAACGUAUUUGCCACUUUUUAGUUCUGAAGACAAGUGGAAAGCAUAUAAUGUUUGUGUUUCUGCACGUUUUUCUUGAGUAGUACCUGCAUAAAUUCACAUCAUUCUGCUCCUUGAUGUCUUGUUUCUGUGUUUUAGUUGCCUUCACCUGGUGUUCCCACUGUGGCUUCUCUUUGUCGUGACUACAUUAAAAGCAUGUUACCAUUCGCAGUAGUCGAGUUUCCCAAUAAUAGUGUGGCAGUGAUUCCCACCAAAUGGUUUACCUCGCCAGCGGAAGAUGAGUGCUACUGGCCACCAGGGAAAGUUAAUGUGACGAAGGCAGUGAUAGACCAAAAAGAUCCUCAAAGUGACUGGAAAUUUUUUAAACUCACUGAACUUAUGAAGUUGCCCAUUCAAAAAUGUUGGAAUAUGAAGAAAAAAGCGAUGUGCAAACAGAUUCAGAGUCAAGUGACAGGUUUGGAAGAGGAAAGCGCAAGAAAAGGCAAGUAAUUAGGUCCAGUGAGGAGGAGGAGGAGGAGGAUGAUGAUGAGUUUGACAUCCACAUCAGGUCUCCAUUAUCCAGGGCCAGAGCAUCUCCUCCACAGCCUCCACCCACCCUGAGACCUGCACAGACACUUCCACCACCUCCACCCACCCUGAGACCUGCACAGACACUUCCACCACCUCCAUCCACCCUGAGAACCAGUCAGACACCACCACCUGUAACUCGCUGCUCAUUGCCUACACUGCCUCCAACUACCCUUGGUUCUAUUCGAGACAACAUGUUCAUCCGCGUUCUUUCACUGCUUGAACAAAUUAAAGAGACUCAAAAAGUCCAUGGAAAAUUACUACAAACAAUUCUUCAGCAAGGUAGCAUUGUUGGUUCAUCAAUCUUCCCAUCCACCCCAGAGGGUUUCCUGCUUAAAACCGUGGGUGAUCUGCAAUCCAUUGAACAAAAAUUGGCUGAUCAGACCUUCAUGUCCGACUUGGUUGCAGCUGUGGCAGAUAUUGGUGGGUCGACGGUGGACGAGGCCACAAGAAGAAUUAUGACUUUCCUCUUGGACAACGGUUUGUCGCGACAGUACAACCUGUUGGGCGGCAAUGGAAAACGGGAGUUCAAGGCUCUGAGGAGGUUUAAAGAAGAACGCUAUGACCUCUACAGUCACUCGUAAGGAUGGGGAAAAGGCGGUUGGGAAGUGGCUCAUUGGUACUCGGGACCGUGGAGGAGAUAGACUGGCCCGGGCAACCAAAAAUGCAACACCGGAACAAGAACCUGAAAACGAGGAAAAUUAACUCGAUAAGGCCCAUCUACGCUCACCUGGCAAAAUUGGGAAGUAACAUUUCUUAAGAUUUUUAUAAAAAGGAGACCUCAGUAUUUGAAAAAAAUGGCAAACAAAAGACUGAAAACAAACCCCCAAAAACUGCUGUAGACCAACAAGAGAGCAUUUGUUUUUCUGUCUGUAGAAUGGACCUGUCUUGUGUCUUCUAUGCAUGGAAAACCAAAAGUAACAAACAUGGUUUGAGGCUGCUUCAUACGAGAGGUGACAGGACACGAUCUGUAUUAAGAAAAGGAUGAAUAGGGUCCUAUUCUAAUCUGGAAUUUCUCAUGGUGUGCAGAAACCCUGUAUGUAUUUUACUUAAAAAGGCGGACCUUUGUUAAAGAGUUUGACAAAAUAUUUUUAUUUAUGUAUACUUUAAGUGUUUUUUGUUAUUGUUUUUUUUUUUUUUGGCCAGUUCUAAAGGUUAAUUCAAUCUGGGUAAUGUGAAUCUUGGUAAUGUAAAAUGUACAUGUGUAAUGGGAGGCGUAAUUUGAAUAUGCUUAUGUUUUUAAAUGUAUUAGUUGUUUUACAUGUUAACACGUUUUAAUAAUUGAGUGUUCAUCUGCAAUUUCUUUUGUUCAAUAUUUUAAAAUAAAAAAGCUAAUUGUA